CAUAGUCAUUCAAGGGCUCCUCGGUCAUACAGUGGUUCGCAUCGGUGUUCGUGAUGAAUGGGCGUAAAGUGUGCGUCGGCCGUCGUUGAAGUCGGAUGUGGAAUCCCGCAGCGUAGCGUCGGCACGGACUUGGAUCCUAUCCGGGUCGAGGAGUGGAGGGGAGACUGGAAUUCUCGGUGUAGCAGUGAAAUGCGUAGAUAUCGAGAGGAACACCUGUGGCGAAGGCGAGUCUCCGGACACUUCCUGACGCUGAGGCACGAAAGCCAGGGGAGCAAACGGGAUUAGAUACCCUGGUAGUC
This 299-nucleotide ribosomal RNA is filed under the name uncultured bacterium. Its description in RNAcentral is "partial 16S ribosomal RNA". It matches the Rfam family "Bacterial small subunit ribosomal RNA", at positions 501 to 795 of the family's 1533-position model. The record is from RNAcentral.